GGGCUGACACACCCACUUUGAGACAACUAACUGCUAUUCAAUCUAUAACAGUGAAAAAAGUUUUUUGUUUUUAAAUGCAAGCUAUUGUGACACCAGAUAUGAGUGGCACUGUGAACUGGCAGAGUACACGUUGUAGGCCUGACACACCCGCUUGAAGACAACUAACUGCUAUUCAAUCUAUUACAGUGAAAAAAGUUUUUUGUUUUUAAAUGCAAG
Molecule: non-coding RNA, 216 nt
Organism: Pelobates cultripes (western spadefoot toad)
Lineage: Eukaryota; Metazoa; Chordata; Amphibia; Anura; Pelobatidae
Source: the annotation of a GenBank genome assembly